GGAUAGUUUAGUCGGCAGAGCAUGAGACUCUUAACCUCAGGGUUGUGGGUUCAAGACCCAUGUGGGGCA
This is a non-coding RNA of Podarcis lilfordi (Lilford's wall lizard), 69 nucleotides long. NCBI's taxonomy places the organism in Eukaryota, Metazoa, Chordata, Lepidosauria, Squamata, Lacertidae. The record is from the annotation of a GenBank genome assembly.